Aquila chrysaetos chrysaetos is the source of this 678-nucleotide long non-coding RNA. RefSeq lists it as uncharacterized. Lineage: Eukaryota; Metazoa; Chordata; Aves; Accipitriformes; Accipitridae. The record is from RefSeq and is a predicted model, not a curated record. The transcript is spliced from 3 exons.
CUCUCACCUCCUGCAGAAUCUGCCUCUCCUUGUUUGCUUGCACAGAUUGUAUCAUGACACCGAGGUUAUCUGAUGGGUGGUUGUGGCCGCAGCUUCCACAGGUGGAUGCUCUUCACUCUGCGAGCUUUGCAGAAGGAUGAAGCUCUACCCCAAGGACACGCAUCAGCGCAUUGUGGUCUAUCUGCUCUGGGCUUUGCUGAGCAUCUCUCUCCCUACAAGACCUCCCAUCCUCAGCAAAUACCUGCAGAUUCAUAUCUGCAAGGAGGAAUCUGGGCCAUCUAGCCCCAUGGAUGCUUAUCCCAUCGGUGCUGCCAUCAUGUGGAGAUUGUCCUGCCUUAUCAGCUGGGAUGGUAGCUUUGCAAGAAGAAAUUGCAAGCUUCUCUCUUCUGGACUUGGAAAGCCCAGGAGGUGACUUGGCCCCUCCAGCAACAAGCUUCAUUUCCACCACUUUCCUUCAAGCUCCAUGUCUUGCUGCCUCCUGAGGCAUCCACCAAGGAGAAGUAAUCAUGGAAGAAAAGUGACAUUCCAGCUUUAUUACCUGCUUCAAUGGGCCUCUGUCAACCUCCUACGACACUGCUGGAGAAGCAUCUCUAGGGUGAAUUUGAUGAAGAUCUCAGCCUGGCUUGUCUAUCUAAUUGAUCCUGAACGUGCAAUCCUACAGAAAAUAUGGCAUGAUGC